GCCCAGGUGGUGAAAUUGGUAGACGCAGGGGACUCAAAAUCCCCCGCCGCAAGGCGUGCCGGUUCGAUUCCGGCCCUGGGCA
This is a transfer RNA of Burkholderia multivorans ATCC 17616, 82 nucleotides long. It matches the Rfam family "tRNA". Rfam says of the family: Transfer RNA (tRNA) molecules are approximately 80 nucleotides in length. Their secondary structure includes four short double-helical elements and three loops (D, anti-codon, and T loops). NCBI's taxonomy places the organism in Bacteria, Pseudomonadati, Pseudomonadota, Betaproteobacteria, Burkholderiales, Burkholderiaceae. The record is from Rfam.